UCAAUUGCGAUGAUAGGAACAAGUACGUUUGUCUCCCGUUUCUCAGAGAGCCGGUGGUAGGUGCGAACCGGUGAAACAAGCAGACCGAAUGGAUCCUUGAGCUUGAAGCUGAACACUGUGUAGAAUCACCGGAACCUAGGCCGGAUUAAAACCACAGUUAAUUAUGCUUAACGGUAGCUCUCCGUUAUCAGAGCCUGAAGGUUUACAUGCACAUAACUACGGUUAUGUAGGUAGACAAAUUAGGGUGGUACCACGGUCUCUCGUCCCUUGC
Molecule: non-coding RNA, 271 nt
Filed under: Paenibacillus sp.
Lineage: Bacteria; Bacillati; Bacillota; Bacilli; Caryophanales; Paenibacillaceae
Description: T-box sequence
Rfam family: T-box leader
About the family: Uncharged tRNA acts as the effector for transcription antitermination of genes in the T-box leader family.
Source: RNAcentral